This 855-nucleotide long non-coding RNA is filed under the name Marmota monax (woodchuck). The record is from RNAcentral. Lineage: Eukaryota; Metazoa; Chordata; Mammalia; Rodentia; Sciuridae.
CUUUAUGAAAAAGCCCCAAAUCUGGCUUGUUACUCUGCCUGCCAUAAACCUACAGAAAGUUGGGGAGGAAGUGGGGGACUAAAAAGGACCACGCAUAUACCCCUGCAGUGGCAGGACUUCUUCAACACACACCACAACUGUGUGUGGCAGUGACACGCAUAGAAAACUACUCAACAAUGAAAAAGGACGGGUUACCAAGUGACAGACGUGGGGAAUCACAAGAGCAUUCUGCUGAGCAAAGGUAGUCCCAGGCGAACAGCACGUGCUAUAUCUGCCUGAGAGUAUGAACCCCAAGCCAGGCAAGACCCCCCUGCAGGCCACAUCACUGUUGGCCGGGGUGGGGCGGGGACUACAAAGGGCUCCAGGAACUUCUGAGGGCCGUGGAAAUGCUCCAUCUGGACAGGUGUGUCCCCCAGUCAAGGUCCACACCUGGAGGAUUCAGUUGUCUGUCACAGUAUCUCAAAGAGAAAGACAGAAGGGAUAAGAGGGGGACAAGGGGAAAGGAGGGGGGAGAGGGGGAGAGCAGGAAGAAAAGCUCUCCCCAGACCCCUCCAGGCCCUGCUUCUGCCGCAGUGGAGAUGGCGCUGACCACGAACCGCAUCGCAAGGUGCCGGAGUCACGGACUAGAACGAGUGCCCUCGUGUAGGCCUGAGCGUUCUUCACUGCGUCUCAAGCCCUGGGACAAUGAGCUCUGCCACACACCAGGGAUUCUGAUGUGUCACUGCAACAGAAUGUGGUAACGCCAGGGAAGUGACAGAAACGGCAGCUUUCCGUGGAGGGCUCCAACGGUCACCACACAGCUACCAAGCUAACGUGCAGACUGUGUCUUCAAAUGCUAAGUAAACAUUAAAUUCU